RNAcentral lists this long non-coding RNA (183 nucleotides) under Cricetulus griseus (Chinese hamster). RNAcentral's name for it is "lncRNA (ENSCGRG00000025756.1)". Lineage: Eukaryota; Metazoa; Chordata; Mammalia; Rodentia; Cricetidae. The record is from RNAcentral.
GGCAUGACCUGCAGAAACCCAGAGUUAUAAAAGGGCUGCUGUCAAGUUGUUAUCAAGGACGCUGUGUCCUCUGUAGUUCCAUUACAAGAAACCCUUGGCCAACCUUUCCAGUGGUGCAAUUGUGCAGCAUUCCACCUAGGGUCUUUAAAAGCAGAGAUGCUCCAGUAGGUCGGGACAUCCUCC